UACGUAGGGGGCAAGCGUUGUCCGGAAUCAUUGGGCGUAAAGCGCGUGUAGGCGGCCCGGUAAGUCCGCUGUGAAAGUCCAGGGCUCAACCCUGGAAUGCCGGUGGAUACUGUCGGGCUCGAGUCCUGAAGAGGCGAGUGGAAUUCCUGGUGUAGCGGUGAAAUGCGCAGAUAUCAGGAAGAACACCGAUGGCGAAGGCGGCUCGCUGGUCCGGUACUGACGCUGAGGUGCGAAAGCGUGGGGAGCAAACAGG
Molecule: ribosomal RNA, 253 nt
Filed under: uncultured bacterium
Lineage: Bacteria
Description: partial 16S ribosomal RNA
Rfam family: Bacterial small subunit ribosomal RNA
Source: RNAcentral